Long non-coding RNA from Haplochromis burtoni (Burton's mouthbrooder), 224 nucleotides. RefSeq lists it as uncharacterized. The transcript is spliced from 2 exons. NCBI's taxonomy places the organism in Eukaryota, Metazoa, Chordata, Actinopteri, Cichliformes, Cichlidae. The record is from RefSeq and is a predicted model, not a curated record.
CAGUCUGCCAGCUCUCAAGAUGCCUGUUUGUGUCUGUGUGUCAUCUGAAGAGAGUGAGUCAGGAGGAAAUGUGAACAGCACUGGGAUGGGUUGUGCUCCUAGCAGCAGGAGGUUCAUGGAGAGGACGGGAGGCGGGGGUCCUGGGCCCACCCUCUCUCUGCACUUGGCUGAGUGAGUCAUUUGCUCCUGGCUCAGGAAGAUCUCUGCCAACGAUUCUCUAACAA